CCUGUCUGAAAUAAGCAUCUAAAAUUACAAAAAUUGUCUCAAGAUGAACUUGGUUACACAGAUAUGCGAUCGUGGAACAGACCUAGAAGCAGAACCUCAUCCUCAAGUUCUGUAUGGAGUCAGCUAUUCCAGGUGUGGGGCACCUGUGAUUUAGUAGUCCAUGCAAGUUACACAUCCCCCAAUCCACAGAAGAGAGGGACUAACUGUUCCCAUCAGAGAGAGCAGUGAGAAACUCUGACUCACCGACUGCUGUCCCACACUGCUUCUGUGUUUGCUGUCCUUUGCUGGGAUAAUUUCCAAUGAGCGGUAACUGGGUGGCUUGUCUUCUG
This is a long non-coding RNA of Dermochelys coriacea (leatherback sea turtle), 329 nucleotides long. RefSeq lists it as uncharacterized. The transcript has 3 exons. The record is from RefSeq and is a predicted model, not a curated record. Lineage: Eukaryota; Metazoa; Chordata; Testudines; Dermochelyidae.